RNAcentral lists this ribosomal RNA (413 nucleotides) under uncultured Gammaproteobacteria bacterium. Its description in RNAcentral is "bacterial SSU rRNA". It matches the Rfam family "Bacterial small subunit ribosomal RNA", at positions 9 to 424 of the family's 1533-position model. The record is from RNAcentral. Lineage: Bacteria; Pseudomonadati; Pseudomonadota; Gammaproteobacteria.
GAGUUUGAUCGUGGCUCAGAUUGAACGCUGGCGGUAUGCUUAACACAUGCAAGUCGAACGGCAGCAUGAUUUGUAGCAAUACAAAUUGAUGGCGAGUGGCGGACGGGUGAGUAACACGUAGGAAUCUACCCUAAAGCGGGGGAUAACCCGAGGAAACUCGGGCUAAUACCGCAUAAUAUCUAUGGAUUAAAGCUGGGGCAACCUGGCACUUUAGGAGGAGCCUGCGUCUGAUUAGCUAGUUGGUAGGGUAAAGGCCUACCAAGGCGACGAUCAGUAGGUGGUCUGGGAGGAUGAUCACCCACACUGGGACUGAGACACGGCCCAGACUCCUACGGGAGGCAGCAGUGGGGAAUAUUGGACAAUGGGGGCAACCCUGAUCCAGCAAUACCGCGUGUGUGAAGAAGGCCUCGGUU